GGAAUAACACACAGAAAACUUGGAAAACUGAACAAAAUGAGUGAACACUCUACAUUGUCAUAUUCAUCAAACUGAGGUCC
RNAcentral lists this small nucleolar RNA (80 nucleotides) under Marmota marmota marmota (Alpine marmot). RNAcentral describes it as "Small nucleolar RNA SNORD116 (ENSMMMG00000015074.1)". It matches the Rfam family "Small nucleolar RNA SNORD116", at positions 11 to 92 of the family's 92-position model. Rfam says of the family: HBII-85 is a member of the C/D class of snoRNAs, which contain the C (UGAUGA) and D (CUGA) box motifs. The record is from RNAcentral. Lineage: Eukaryota; Metazoa; Chordata; Mammalia; Rodentia; Sciuridae.